RNAcentral lists this ribosomal RNA (253 nucleotides) under uncultured bacterium. Its description in RNAcentral is "partial 16S ribosomal RNA". It matches the Rfam family "Bacterial small subunit ribosomal RNA", at positions 524 to 776 of the family's 1533-position model. The record is from RNAcentral.
UACGUAGGGGGCAAGCGUUGUCCGGAAUCAUUGGGCGUAAAGAGCGUGUAGGCGGCCCGGUAGGUCGGUUGUGAAAGUCAGGGGCUUAACCCUUGAAUGCCGACCGAUACUGUCGGGCUAGAGUCCGGAAGAGGCGAGUGGAAUUCCUGGUGUAGCGGUGAAAUGCGCAGAUAUCGGAAGGAACAUCAGUGGCGAAAGCGACUUCCUGGACCAGUACCGACGUUCAGGCACGAAAGCGUGGGGAGCAAACAGG